Molecule: ribosomal RNA, 490 nt
Filed under: uncultured Actinomycetes bacterium
Lineage: Bacteria; Bacillati; Actinomycetota; Actinomycetes
Description: bacterial SSU rRNA
Rfam family: Bacterial small subunit ribosomal RNA
Source: RNAcentral
UAGCCCUCCACUUUCGGGAUAACACCGGGAAACCGGUGCUAAUACCGAAUAUUGAAACAUAAGUGGCAUCACUGAGUUUUGAAAGAAUUUCGGUGGAGGAUGACUUCGCGGCCUAUCAGCUAGUUGGUGAGGUAAUGGCUCACCAAGGCAACGACGGGUAGCCGGCCUGAGAGGGCGACCGGCCACACUGGGACUGAGACACGGCCCAGACUCCUACGGGAGGCAGCAGUGGGGAAUAUUGGGCAAUGGAGGAAACUCUGACCCAGCGACGCCGCGUGCGGGAUGAAGGCCUUCGGGUUGUAAACCGCUUUCAGUAGGGAAGAAGCGAAAGUGACGGUACCUACAAAAGAAGCACCGGCUAACUAUGUGCCAGCAGCCGCGGUAAUACAUAGGGUGCAAGCGUUGUCCGGAAUUAUUGGGCGUAAAGAGCUCGUAGGUCGUUUGUUACGUCGGAUGUGAAAACCUGAGGCUCAACCUCAGGCCUGCAUUC